GUCGGACGCCGUCGAGACAAGUCUCAACUAGUUUCGCUCCACGUACAUGCAAUCAUUAUCGAUGACGUGAAUGCAUUGAAAUUAGAAGACGUUCACCAUCGUUUCAUGGAAAUUAUACUAAUCAAUGGUGGUAUAUACAAUUGCAUACAUACGUGCAAGUGUAUUUCUUUCUUUCUUUCUUUUCUUUAAUUUUAGAAAUGCAUCAAUUUCCAAAUGGAUCGUUCGAUGCAUUAGAAAAUUUUAA
This 244-nucleotide long non-coding RNA is filed under the name Polistes fuscatus (common paper wasp). RNAcentral describes it as "uncharacterized LOC122518411". Lineage: Eukaryota; Metazoa; Arthropoda; Insecta; Hymenoptera; Vespidae. The record is from RNAcentral.